Molecule: ribosomal RNA, 253 nt
Filed under: uncultured bacterium
Lineage: Bacteria
Description: partial 16S ribosomal RNA
Rfam family: Bacterial small subunit ribosomal RNA
Source: RNAcentral
UACGGGGGGGGCAAGCGUUGUUCGGAAUUACUGGGCGUAAAGGGCUCGUAGGCGGCCAACUAAGUCAGACGUGAAAGCCCCGGGCUCAACCUGGGAAUUGCAUUCGAGACUGAAUAGCUAGGGUACGGUAGAGGGAAGCGGAAUUUCCGGUGUAGCGGUGAAAUGCGUAGAUAUCGGAAGGAACAUCAGUGGCGAAAGCGGCUUCCUGGACCAGUACCGACGUUCAGGCACGAAAGCGUGGGGAGCAAACAGG